Molecule: long non-coding RNA, 12421 nt
Filed under: Ananas comosus (pineapple)
Lineage: Eukaryota; Viridiplantae; Streptophyta; Magnoliopsida; Poales; Bromeliaceae
Description: long non-coding RNA (ACOM_LNC010208)
Source: RNAcentral
GAAUAGAAAGAUGCAGGAAAAUAAAGGUGGUCUCUUGUGCGCAGGGGCGAAGACCCCUCUUUCAGGGCGCCGUAUGCCUAUUUAUGGGGUUGCCCUUGCGUUUAGUUAUUGUUACUGCACGAUCGGCCAUUAUCUCCUAAUUUGUAGGACCACCUCCGGUCGAUUGGAACUGCUCAUAACGGCUUGCGGUUGCUACGCUUUUUGAACAGACGUGGCUCAUAUCUUCUGGCGCGUCUUCUAUACUCCCGGUCCACCAUUUUGACAUGGACCAUGGAUGUAGUCCCGGCUUGCCAGCUGACCGCGCCUAAUUGGCUCAACAAUUGCCUCCUCGCCAGUUUUCGAAGCGAUGCUUCGGUAGCUGGCGUUACCCUUUUCAUCUCAAACAACUUCCUAUUGCCGAAAGCGAGCUUGAUCCGAGGCGUAUUUCUCGGUCCAAUCAAAUUCAAAUUCUCUGACAUAAUCUGCACCACGAUCUUCUAUACGGUUUAAUCUAAGCCGUUCAUUUUUUCUUGACGGCUCCGAUCGUAUUCCCUACUUUUGUCUUAUGUGCAGCAUUAAUUAGGUUUUAAUUGCCGCCGUCUAUUCAUCAUUAUAGCCGACCUCGGGACUCGUAGUCGAUGCGAUAGUUCGAUACGACGGCCUUUUCUUCUUCCCCAAGCUUUUCAUUCUUUUGUCUCUUCUAAUUCUUAUUUCUUUUCCUCGUCUCCUUCACUAAGAUCUCUUUUCUGUCUCUUUACUUUUCGUAACCGAAUCUCUCGGCUCUUCUCUUCUUUUGAACAAUGUCUUUGGUUCCUCCUCUUCCUUCUCAUCCAUCUCUUGACUAUACUAUACUCAAACCUUUUGUUGACUCAGACCCCUCCAGAUUUAUUUUGGGUCCUUCUCUUACAGAGGUGCCAGCCCUUAUCAACUCGCCCUUUUCUAGCGACGGUCUUCCCCUGAAAAAAGCUAUUCAUCUUCAGUCUUGGUACUCUUCUGCUUCAACAGGGAAAAGUCUUCGAACUUGGCCAAGUAUUUCAGAAGCAUAUUUAACUUGGUUAGAUCGAGUAGAAGCCGCUUUUGGUGAUUUUUGGCGAGAGGUUGGGAUAUAUGAAGCUAUUCAAUUGUCUCGGCAUCCUCCUAUUGCCGAUAAUCUUCUUCUAGCCGCCGCUUUGUGUUUUUGGUCCCCCGCUUCUAAUAUUUUUCUUUUCAAAAGAGGACCUCUUACCCCUACUCUUUUUGAUGUAGCCGCCAUUACCGGCUUGCGCCCUCAUGGUGUUUCUGUUUCUCUGUCUUAUAAUCCUGACGGCGUAUCUGAAUUUGAGGAUCGUUUAGACCUCAAUGACUUGGCUUACUCCAAGUUCAUCUGCAAAUUCGCAGGUGAACCCCCUGCUCCCGUUACUAAGAACGAACAUACAACAUUUCUCCUUUAUUGGUUAUGUCAUAAUCUUUUCUGCACUCGUUCACAGAAAAUUAAUCGUGACUUUGUUCCAAUCGCCGUCGGUUUGUCUAACGGCGAUAGAUUAGCUCUAGGACCUUACUUUCUUGCCUUUGUCUAUAGAGAAAUUUUUGAUUCUCUCAAAAUAUUACCUUCCGGAGAUGGUAUUGUCAUUAGUUAUGGCUGCGGUGUCUUCUGGUUUCUUCAAAUGUUUUUACAAUUUUAUAUUCCUGCUUUGUGCCAGUCUCCUUUCAACUCGACUUCGGUUGCUCAAUUCGAUUCUUAUGGGUUAGCUCUCGGCUGUCCACAGCCGAUGACUCUGGGUCAACCCUAUGAUUUUCUUACUUAUUUUAAAACUUUUUAUGAGCCGAGUCCUGAAUCGGCUGUUUCUUGGGCUCCUUUCGCUGACCGUCUUACUGGUCCUUCUUGGUUUCUUGCCCGAUUUGAAGCCAUCCGGGAUGAAUUGGCCUCUUCUCGUGCUAGUGAAUACUUAGAAGUAUGGUAUUCCUAUUUGACUCCGAGGGAUCUUCAUGUGGGGUUGAAAUCGCGCUCCAAACUAUUACCAUGCACUGAAGCUUAUUCCCCCCAGUAUGUGGCCCGUCAGUUUGGGUUUGUUCAGCCGAUUCCCGCUCAAUCAAAAUUUUUUACAAUUAACACAGCCGAUCAUCGGCCCCCUACUAAAAGCAUAGCCGAAGCUGAUAAGAUUUCAGCUAUGGGAAACCGCCUUCGUCAAUUCUUUAAAUUGGUGAGCUUCAGGCCGAACUACACAGGAGUUGCUCUUGCUGGUUAUGCUACGGUUUGGGACCGUUUUACGGACAGUACCCUCGACCUUUCUCUUCUCCGGGCAUUCCGAAGAACUAUUCAUCCAACUGUUCCAGUUGAUCCUCCCGUCUCACCAAUAGAAGAAAUAGAAGAGGUUUCUGAGGUUAGACUUCUUUCUUUUGUAAUGUAUUCACUUCUUUCUUUUCAAUAUUCUAAAUUUUUUUUUUCGCAGUCAACUCCAACUUCUUCAUCGGUCCCAACUUCAAAUAAGAGACCGACUGAGACUGUACAAGUUACUCCUCUGCCGACUUCGAAACGGUGUAAAUCAGUUGCUAAACGGCAAUUUCGACAAGUCGAAGGUGCUCCUUCGGCUGAUAAUUUAGAAGACAAAGCCGAAGAUAUACCUUCGGCCUCAAUCCCAACAACAAGAACCAAAGACAUACCUUCGGCUAAUAUUCCAUUAGAGGAAACUGUUCUGCCUUCCUCAGCUACGGAACAAAGCUAUGUCCCGACCGAAACAAUUGAUAUCGGGGUACGUCAAGUUAGUUGUCAGUAAGCAGAUUUUAUAUUUCUUCAUCUAUUUAUCUUUUUCUUUUAAUUCGCUCACAGUCUUCUCCUGAAAGAGCUCAUUUUCCUCAUUUCUCAAGACGCAGAUGGAACGGCAGCUUCGCAGGGAAUCCCGUCUUGAGAAAAAGAGAGAGAUGGAAAAGAAGAAGAAAUCUGUUGAAACGGCAAGCACAACGCCGUUACCCAGUGAGGUCGCAUCACCUCGUUCUGCUCCUGUCCCAACACCAACUACAGGAGACGAACGAAUAAACAUACCUUUUGGGCAAUCUUCUAGAGAUGAAAGUGCUGUACCUCCCCGCUCGACCCAGGAAACUUCUUCUCCUAUUUCUGAUGACCCUCUAUCUGCAACUCUUCAUUCCUUUUUGAUUUCAAGCCCCAGUUCUACCGAGGGGGAUGAUUCUUCAACUGUUAUCAUUUCAUCGGACACCCGAAGCAAGUUCGAUGAAUGUCUUAAAAUAUAUGGCGCCGGUAUUCCUGGUUUGGCUCAAAAUCCAGAACAAUUUGAUCGGCUAUACGCCCUUUUACUUGAUUUAAUCGAUCAAACAGAUGUUACUCCCGGCAUAAAAUAUUUUGUGGCAACCUUAUCACUUCAACUUUCAUCUUUUUUGGCUCGGCAGCAAUCUUUAGGCGCCGAACUUGUAGCUAUAGAUCAACAUUUUUAUCGUGUUGAUCAUUUUAAGAAAAAUAUCCUUGAUAUAGCAGCUCCGAAUACUGAGGUGCAUCGAGAGGAUAAAGAAUUAGCUGAUCAAGAAUCGGCUCUGCAAAAGCGAAUCUUCACUCUUAAGGAAGAAUUAGCAGCAGCCGAAUCUACUCUGGCACAAACCUCCGAACGCCGACUUCAACUAAGAGAUUAAUUGAAGUCUAAAAAGGAAGAAGGGAUAAGGCUUAAAGAAGAGCUUUCGCAACUUUACAAAGUACAUCCUCUGAUGAAGCGCCGAAGGAAAGCUGCUGAAAUUGCCCAAGCCAAUCUCAUAGCCGAAUGGAACCAACUCAGAGAUUUAUUGUCUUGAUUCGGCUUGUAAUAUUCUAACUCUGACCUUGAUUGUGCUCCCACAUGGAUGGGUAAUAUUUCUUUAAAUAUUUUCCGUUGAUUAGUUUUUCACCUUCUGACCCAUCUCUGUUUUGCAAAUAAUACGCAUUCCCACUUGUGAUUCGGCUAAUCUGGAAUGGUCCUUCCCAGUUUGGAGACCAUUUCCCAUACACUCGGUCUUUCUGACCGACUGGAAAAACCAGCCGAAGUACUAAAUCACCAACGACAAAUGUUUUUAAUCGAACUUUCUUAUUAUAUGCACUACGUACUCGGCUUUGGUACGGUUGCAUAUUAUCUAAAGCUAUCAACCGAGUAUCUGUUAAUUCCUCUGCUUUGUCUUUCAUUAACUCGCUAUAUUCAUCAGCCGAAAGAUUUUUUUAUUUUUCUAUCCUUAAAGAAGGAACUGUUAUCUCGGCUUGGAUUACAGCCUCAUGGCCAUAAACUAAUUGGAAUUGUGUCAUCCCUGUUGCCGUUUUCAUUGAAGUUCGGCAUGCCCACAAUACUUCGGAAAGCUUUUCAUUCCAUUUUCUCGGAUACUUUCCGAUAUGUCGCUUCAUAAGGUUGAUGAUUAUUUUAUUUGCUGCUUCCACUUGUCCAUUCCCUUGUGCAUAAUAAGGCGAGGAAUGAAGCAACUUUAUCUUUUGAGACUCGAUGAACCGAACGAACUGCCCUCCUGUGAACAUUGUUCCUUGAUCGGUUGUGACUAUCUCGGGAAUUCCAAAGCGAUGAAUUAUAUGAUCUUCUACAAAAUCGGUAAUUUCUUUUUGAGUAACCAACCGAGUAGGUUUGGCUUCCACCCAUUUAGUAAAAUAAUCGAUGGCUACUAUCAGAAACUUGUGACCAACCGAGGAAUUCGGUUGAAUUUCUCCAAUUAAAUUCAUGGCCCAUCCUCGGAAAGGCCAUGGUUUAAUUAUGGCGUACAUCUCUGAGGCAGGAACCCUCUGUAUCGAACUAUGAAAUUGACAUUCUUGGCAACCCUUGGCAUACUCUAUGCAAUCUUGAUGCAUAGUCGGCCAAUAAUAUCCUAGGUGCCGAAUUGUCCAUCUUAACUUUUUUCCCGCUAGAUGGGUUCCAUAUAUUCCUUCAUGUGUUUCUCCGAUUACCAAUAGAGCUUCUUCAGGUCCUAAGCAUUUUAAUAGAACUUCUUCGGCUGUUCUUUUGUAAAUUUGACCAUCCAACAAACAAUAGCCGAGCGCUCUUCUUCGAAUAUUAUAAUCGACCCUUAUAUUAGGACCCUCCAAAUAUUUGAUCAAUGAUUUUCUCCAAUCUUUUUUCACUUCUAUAGGAGCUAUAAUUGGUUCUCGUAUAUGAACCGAAGGUAGUAAUCUCCUCUGUAUUACUAUUAGCUCUGACUUCGGCUCUUUGUAACCUGAAGCCGAUUGGGCCAAUUCAUUUGCCUUUUUAUUUUCCUGUCUGCUCGAAUGUUCAAAUUCGGCUUCUCCGAAAUUGCAUAAUAAUUCUAUUGUCUUCUUCAAAUAAUUUUGCAAAUUCGGAUUCUCACAUCGGUAGUCCCCGUUAACCUGCUUGAUUACUAACUGUGAAUCACCGAUGACUUUGAUUGAUUUUGCUUUCAAUUCUUGCAAUAUUUCAAGGCCGAUUAUCAAGGCCUCAUAUUCAGCUUGGUUGUUAGAACAACCGAAAUCUAGUUCAAAUGCAAAUUGACAAACAUAACCUUUAGGAGAUUGUAUCACUAUCCCUGCUCCUGCAGAUUCAGUUAUCUUUGAACCGUCAAAGUACAACACCCAAGGUUGGCAGCCGAUUAAAUUUUGUUUCGGCUCCUCGAUCUCUACACAUAGGUGGUCAGCUAGAAAAUCGGCUAUAGCCUGACCUUUAACAGCUUUGGCGGGAACAUAAUUAAGAGAAAACUCGGAUAAAGCUAAUAUCCACUUUUCGAUCCGCCCCCUUUAUACCGGCUUAGAUAACAUAUAUUUUACUAAAUCGGUUUUGCAUAUUACCGAUACUUCAGUCGACAAGAUAUAAUAUCUCAAUUUUGUGCAUGCAUAAUAUAAAGCCAAACAUAAUUUUUCUAUAGCCGAGUACCGUUUUUCUGUAUCUAACAGACGUCGGCUUAGGUAAUAAAUGGCCUGUUCUUCCUUCUCUUCAUUUUCUUGAGCCAACAAACAUCCCAAAUUUUUGUCUGCAGCCGAUAUGUACAACUUCAUCGGCUGAUUUGACUUUGGAGGUACCAGUACCGGAGGAUUUGAUAAAUAUCUUUUUAUAUUUUCAAACGCCUCUUGCUGUUUCUCCGUCCAAAUAAAUUCUUCUUUGUCUUUAAGCCGAAGUAAUGGAGUAAAAACCUCUAUUCUUCCGGCCAAGUUGGAUAUGAACCGCCGAAGAUAAUUAAUCUUUCCCAUCAAACUCUGUAAUUCUUUUUUGCUUUUUGGCGGCGAUAAUUCUAAUAUUGCUUUCGCCUUAUUUUUAUCAAUUUCGAUCCCUUUUUUAUGCACUAAAAAUCCUAAAAAGUUUCCUGCAGAAACUCCGAAAGCGCAUUUCAAAGGGUUCAUUUUUAAAUUAUAUUUUCUCAUUCUUUCAAAGGCGGCCUUAAAUCAACCCAAUGUUCGGCUUGUUACUUGGAUUUGAUAACUAUAUCAUCGAUAUAUACUUCCAAUAUUUUGCCGAUUAAGUCAUGAAAAAUAAACUUCAUUGCUCUUUGAUAAGUAGCUCCGGCAUUCUUUAAGCCGAACAACAUAACAACCCAUUCAAAGGUUCCAAUUGAAUCGGGGCAUCUAAAAGUCGUUUUAGCCACAUCUCCCUCAGCAAUAUAAAUUUGAUUAUAACCAGCAUGUCCAUCCAUAAAGGACAGAAUUUCAUUACCAGCAGCCGAAUCUACUAACAUAUCAGCUAUUGGCAUUGGAUACUCGUCUUUAGGUGUAGCUAAAUUCAAGUUCCUAAAAUCGAUACAGACUCUAAGUUUGCCAUUCUUUUUACGCACUGGAACUAUAUUAGACACCCAAUCAACAUAACGGGCCGCUCUAAUAAAUCCGGCCUUUAAAAGAUUUCCGAUUUCAUUUUUAAUUUGGAGUACAAUACUCGGCUCAAACCUACGAGCCGGUUGUUUAAAAGGCUUGAACCUUGUUUUGAUGGGCAACCGAUGCUCUACAAUCUCUCGGCUUAGAUCUGGCAUUUCUUCAUAAUGCCAGGCGAAGCAAUCCUUGUACUCCUUCAACAGCUUCUUCAAUUCUUCCUGUUGUUGAGCCGACAGCUUGGAACUUAUAAACGUCGGCCUGUUGUCUUCAUAAGACCCCAGGUUUACUUCUAUCAACAAAUCCUGGGUCUCCAGCUUUUUCUCGUCGGCUUUAAUAGACAAUUCUUCUAGUUUCAUUCCCGCUGUUUGCCUAUUCAUCUCAUAUGAUUUAUUGGUCUCCAUGACCGAUUUCGUCUGACCUUUUUCCUCAGCUUUAUGAACCGAGUCUUUUAUGACUUUCUAGGCCUUAUUGGCCGAAUUGUCAGGUGCCAAUACAUCGGCUUUGGCAGCCGAAUCAUUCUCAUAGCCGAUCUUGUUGAUCGGCUCAUCUUGUUGAGGCUUGUGCCAAGCCUCUAUUCCCGAUUUUUGGGACUCCAUUUUAACCAUCUUGGUGGCUCUUCAUUAGCCACCAUAGCAUUGAUAUCUUUAGAGAGAAUUAAUUGAAUCCCCUCAUCCGUUACUCUUACAAAUGAAAUCUGAUCUGGAUCGGCAUUGGCCCAAUUGGUGUGGCCGAUGUCCUCCAUGUUGACAUCUAUCAUUUGAGGCCGUCCCUCGGCCCGGAUUUCUUCUACCUUGUCUUCUAUCCACUGGAACAGUUUUCCGCGGAGUGUAGAGGGUACGCACUCAUUCGAGUGUAUCCAAUCUCGUCCUAAUAACAAAUUGUAGUGGCUAUCUGCAUCCACUACAAAAAACGCUGUUUUUAAAGUUUUUGAGCCUACCGUGAGUUCGGUGGUGAGCACUCCUCGAGCUUGUUGACCGUUUCCUGUGAAAUCGGUCAUGAUGGAAUCGGUGGGCUUCAAUUCAUUUUCAUCUUUGCCGAACUUCUUGAAAAAGGAAGUAGGCAUCACAUUGACCAUGGCGCCGCCGUCUACCAUAACUCGGCCUACCGGCCGGCCUUCUAUUAAAGCUUUUAUAAAGAGAGGCCCUAUGAACCUCGUCUGCAUGGCCGAUGGUUUUUCAAAAACCACUGCAUCGGCCUGUUGAACAUCCUCAAGCUGCAAUUGGGCUACUGUAAGCCCAUUUUUUUCUUCUUCUCUAAAUUCCUCGUACUCAACAAACUCUGCUUUGAAGGAUUGAGGUAGAGCGUACACCAUAUUCACCUCGGCCGGUGAUUCAUCAGCCGAUUUUCCUUUGAUUCUCUGUUUCUUCUCUUCUGACUCCUUGGCCGUUUCGGCUGAAGAGUCGCUCUCCAUACGGACCUCCCUCUCCUUAGGAGGCCAUCUUUCUCUCUUGAUCAUUAUCUCGAGGGAAGCUAUUUUAUCUUCUAACUCCCUCCUGGUCAUUUUUUCUUCUAACUAGGCCUCGGUUGGCCGUUCUAUUCUUGACUUCAAUUGAAGGGUAGGCGAUGAGCCGCCUGCCUCAUGGUCAUUUCUCAUUGGACGGAAAGGGUGUGGUCGCUCAUCAGGGCGUCUCCAUACAUUGAGCCUCAUCCCUUUCGCUUCUUCAUAAUUUUGUCUUGCUUCGGCUUGCAUCCUCUGCUGCCGACGCUUCUGAGUUUUUGUUAACAUCGGCCCCUGCCAUCUGGCCGAUGGUUUAACUUCGACUUCGUGCCAUUCAUCCACUGGCACGUUUGCUAGUACUUUUACCGUUCUUAAAUAAUUUUUUAGAAUUUCUCUUCUUUCCCAUGGUCUCGGCCAAGGCUGAAUGCCGAGUUCGUUGACUAGCCUUCGACUGAGGAAUUCUAUGUCUCCCUCGGUCAUUCCUUCAAAUUCCGGUUCUGGUCUCGGCCUGGCUUAUUGUUGCCAAUGUGGCCGAUAUCCAGGGAACCUUUGCUUGGAGCCGAAUGGUCUAUCCUGGUAGUCCCAUCGGCCAUGACGUUCUCCACGCCUGUUGUUGUAGUAAUCAUGCAGAAUCUUCUGCAUCAGCAUAUCUUUCUUACGUUGAACCGAAUCUACUUCCGGUUUAGUGUCAUUGGAAGCUUCGCCUGAGCCUCCUUCUUCUUGAUCCUCACCAUCAGGAAUGUCAUCCCAUUCCUCCGGGAAUGCCAUUAACUCGUUCCAUUCGUUGCCCCUUUUCUUGGCAUUCACAAUGGCUUCCCAGUCUUUCUUCGUCAUUUCGGCCUUGCAUCUUAUGCAGAGACGAAGAUACUUUUUGGCAUGGACCACGUUGUCUGCGGUCUCCUUGUCCAAAAUCUCUUUUCCCUUGACAUUCACCAUAUUAACCUGAAAUGGAAAUGAACUUCUGUUAAUUAUUUGAUUUUCGUCUUCUUGGUCGGCCAUUAUGAGCCGACCUUCUUCUAUUUCUUCUUGGAUCUGCCUUUUUGCAGUCGCUUUUCCUUUCCCUUUCAUGUUCACGGCGUUGACCUGUGAUGGAAAAGGAUUCUUAUCAAUUUUCAUAUCUUUAUUUUUGUAACAUACCACAUCCCUCGUAAGUCGUGCCGAGUUCCGUCAAAACGAGCGGAACGCGGAAUUGAACGAGUUACAGUGGACCCUAAGUGCAUUGGAGUUCAUAAAUGGAGCAAAAAGGGACCCGGAGAGCAAAUCUGGAAAAUCUGGCUAAGUCCCAGAUUUUGAGCUCUCGGGGACCGGUCCCUGAAGGAGAGACCGGUCCCCGUACGCGUAGCCUGCCAGGAAAUCCUGAGNUGCUAGGACGGGAGUAGUCCUAGGAUGGGUGACCCCCUGGGAAGUCGGGGCGUCACAAUUUUCUUGGUCGGCAAAGCUCAACCGACCCUCAUUUAUUUCUCUUUGAAUUUGCCUUUUAAAGGCAGUACAAUCACUAGUUUUAUGGCUCCAUGAAUGGUGCCAUUUGCAGUAUCUUCUGCGUUUCAGUUCUUCUACAGGAAGUAUAGUUUGGCCUUCCUGUAGUUUAAUUCGUCUAUCCAUUAAUAACCGAUCGAAAAUAAGAUCGGUCUUAGCUAUGUCAAAUGAAUAACUAAACGCUGAUAUUUGUGCUUUUGCUUCUCUUGACUUUGCAGGUUUUAGCAAAGCACAUUUGUAUGGUUGACUAUUUCUCACCAUCUCGGCAGCACAGAUUUCGGCUUCAUCAGCCGAAUCUUCUGCCUCCUCAGAUGAAUUCGGCUCUUCAUGAGCCGAGGAUUCUUCAAAGAAAGAAAUAUUUUUCUCUUUCCUUUUAUUCUGAUCUUUGUUUCGGCUCCAUCUAGGCCGAUCUUCAUUGUUCCCUUUUCGAAAUUGCUCGUACUGAGCAACUCGAACUCCCAAAUCAAAAAGAUUUGGAAAGAACUUAUCCUCAAAAUGAUCUUUAAUCUUAAAAUGCAUGCCGUUAAAUGCCAUUUGGCAAACUCUGAUUCCGGCAUCCUUACAAAGCAUCGGCUUCGGGCCGUCUUGACUCGGUUUAAAUAUUCAUCAACCGAUUCUCCUGACAACUCCGGCUCGGUUCUAUAAAAUUGCUCAUGAAAUUUACCUUCUAAUUCGUCCCAGUCUCGAACGAAAUUAGCAGGUAGACUUGUAUACCAAGUGAAGGCUGUCUUGGUCAGUGAAGUAUUGAAUAGCCUUAAUUUUAAAAAAGGAUCUGCCGCUGCCUCGCGGCAUUGGGCUGUAAAUCGAGCGACGUGUUCGACCGUAUUUUCGGUCUCAUCGCGAGAAAUUUGUCAAAUUUCGGCAUCUUCCAAUUUGCCGGAUAGGGGUGUUCUACAUCUAUAUUAGCAGGAUAUGGUGAUCUAAAUACAGGCCGCAUUGCCGGCCUUGUGCCCACUCCGAACGUAUUUCGGAUGGCCUCUUCUAUUUGCGCAUAUAUCUCAUUAUUAAUUCCCUGCACAGGGACUUGCGCUGGUACUGGGUUCGGUAGUUGUUGCGCACCGAGAUUUGGUACCAAGGGAUUAAACCCUUGUACAUUCAAAGCCUGCCCCCUAGCCCCUACAUUUUGGGGCUGGUAAGCUGCAACUGGAGGGGGUGGAGGUAACCCCCAAGCCACUUCCGGCUGUUGACCGGCAUUACCAACAGCCGGUCUAUAAGCUGCUUGAUACUGUGCCCCCGGGUAUUGGGGCUGCCCAACUACCGGUGUUACUGGGUUCUGUAACACUGGCGUUAUCACAGGCGCUUGUAGGCCUGUUAUCGGCUGUUCAUUCCGAGCUAACAAUUGCCCUAUUCGGGCUAUGUUCUCGUUAGAGGCCGUGAUUGCGGCCAAAACGGCAUCCAGCCGUGCAGUACUUGCAUGACUAUUUUGGUCCAACGUUUGUGGGACCCGAGUCAUUUGACUGAGCGCCUGGGUCAAACUAGGCUCCUGUUGGCCAGAUUGACCACUGGUUUCACCCUCAGCAGGUAAAACUGCCUGUCUCUCUACGGCAUUCUCCGAAGAAUUUAUGGGAAUGGCCUUGUUACAGAGAUUCAUGGCAUUAUCAUCGGCCAUAUUUUAUAUAAAAUGCAAAUUUACCUUAAAAGAAUGGUCCCACCGAGCGUGCUAAAAAAUUGUUGGUGGCCGAAAGUCCCGGCCCGACCCGGUCAAGUAUUUCUCCUCGGGAAGGGCGUCGGGAUGAUGUGCGGCCGCGGAUGAUGACCCUCGAAGUUUGCGCCCACGACGGAUCAAGCGAUUCGGCCGAUGAGGGAUCGAACCAGUCGGGUUCAAAGUCCUCUGCAGUAAACUCUCUUCGGCAGGAUGAGCCGAAUGGAAGAGGAAAGCCCAGAAUUCGAUUGAGAGAUGAGCCAAAUGGCUAAACAACUCGAGAUCUAAUCGGCGGGAGGAGCCGAAGACGACUUUCUAUUGAAUAGCAAGAACAGGGGAGAAAGUACAAGAACAGGGGAAUGAUGCUCGGAGGGCAGACAGACCCCAAGUACAAGAACAGGGGAGUGAUGCCCGGAGGGCAGACAGACUCCGAGUAUGCUAAGUUAAGAGAACUACUCCUACGGAAAGCGAUAAAUGCAAGAAUAGAAAGAUGCAGGAAAAUAAAGGUGGUCUCUUGUGCGUAGGGGCGAAGACCCCUCUUUCAGGGUGCCGUAUGCCUAUUUAUGGGGUUGCCCUUGCAUUUAGUUAUUGUCACUGCACGAUCGGCCAUUAUCUCCUAAUUUGUAGGACCACCUCCGGCCGAUUGGAACUGCUCAUAACCGCUUGCGGUUCCUACGCUUUUUGAACAGACGCGGCUCAUAUCUUCUGGCGUGUCUUCUAUACUCCCGGUCCACCAUUUUGACAUGGACCAUGAAUGUAGUCCUGGCUUGCCAGCUGUCCGUGCCUAAUUGGCUCAACAACUAGUUUCAAGUGCCUCUUUAUGACACUUUUGUUCAACAAGUCCAAGCAUGAUAAGUAUGUUUAUAAUGUAUAAUUCUAACCAUUUCCAUCAUACAAAAUGAUUUCCCAACUCGCAACAAGAACCACUCCCCUCUGCAUGCUACCAACACAUAUAGCUCUACUAUAUAGAGUGAAAAUUUUAUGAUACAUAAGGCAUGUAUGUUAAGUGUUCUAAAAUUCUUCUAAAUCAUAAAUAGCAUGGAUUUGCACUUAGAAAUACUUUACGACGAGUAUAGAAAGCAUAGGGGCCAUUUUGCCCCGUGUUCAUGAAGCCAAACCCACCGAU